UGCCAGCAGCCGCGGUAAGACGGAGGGCGCAAGCGUUGUUCGGAAUUACUGGGCGUAAAGGGCGGGCAGGCGGUCUGUUAAGUCUUCUGUGAAAAUCCGGGGCUCAACCCCGUGAAAUGCAGGUGAUACUGGCAGACUAGAGACCGGUAGAGGCUAGCGGAAUUCCUGGUGUAGCGGUGGAAUGCGUAGAUAUCAGGAAGAACACCUGUGGCGAAGGCGGCUAGCUGGGCCGGAUCUGACGCUCAUCCGCGAAAGCGUGGGGAGCAAACAGGAUUAGAUA
Molecule: ribosomal RNA, 280 nt
Filed under: uncultured bacterium
Lineage: Bacteria
Description: partial 16S ribosomal RNA
Rfam family: Bacterial small subunit ribosomal RNA
Source: RNAcentral